This 253-nucleotide ribosomal RNA is filed under the name uncultured bacterium. RNAcentral's name for it is "partial 16S ribosomal RNA". It matches the Rfam family "Bacterial small subunit ribosomal RNA", at positions 524 to 776 of the family's 1533-position model. The record is from RNAcentral.
UACGGGGGGGGCAAGCGUUGUUCGGAAUUACGGGGCGUAAAGCGUGCGCAGGCGGCUUUGCAAGACAGAUGUGAAAUCCCCGGGCUUAACCUGGGAACUGCAUUUGUGACUGCAUGGCUAGAGUGCGGCAGAGGGGGAUGGAAUUCCGCGUGUAGCAGUGAAAUGCGUAGAUAUGCGGAGGAACACCGAUGGCGAAGGCAAUCCCCUGGGCCUGCACUGACGCUCAUGCACGAAAGCGUGGGGAGCAAACAGG